UACAGAGGUCUCAAGCGUUGUUCGGAUUCAUUGGGCGUAAAGGGUGCGUAGGUGGGCAGGUAAGUCCGUGGUGAAAUCUCUGAGCUUAACUCAGAAACUGCCGUGGAUACUAUUUGUCUUGAAUGUUGUGGAGGUGAGCGGAAUAUGUCAUGUAGCGGUGAAAAUGCUUAGAUAUGACAUAGAACACCAAUUGCGAAGGCAGCUCACUACACAAUUAUUGACGCUGAGGCACGAAAAGCGUGGGGGAUCAAACAGG
Molecule: ribosomal RNA, 256 nt
Filed under: uncultured bacterium
Lineage: Bacteria
Description: partial 16S ribosomal RNA
Rfam family: Bacterial small subunit ribosomal RNA
Source: RNAcentral